RNAcentral lists this unclassified non-coding RNA (403 nucleotides) under soil metagenome. Its description in RNAcentral is "partial contains 5.8S ribosomal RNA, internal transcribed spacer 2, and large subunit ribosomal RNA". The stretch from base 2 to 121 matches the Rfam family "5.8S ribosomal RNA", at positions 37 to 154 of the family's 154-position model. The record is from RNAcentral.
GUGAAGAACGUAGCAAAAUGCGAUACUUGGUGUGAAUUGCAGAAUCCCGUGAACCAUCGAGUUUUUGAACGCAAGUUGCGCCCGAAGCCUUUUGGCCGAGGGCACGUCUGCCUGGGCGUCACGCAUCGCGUCGCCCCCCACAAUUCUCCGUAAAGGGAACGUGUGUUUUGGGGGCGGAUAUUGGUCUCCCGUGCUCAUGGCGUGGUUGGCCGAAAUAGGAGUCCUUUCGAUGGACGCACGAACUAGUGGUGGUCGUAAAAACCCUCGUCUUUUGUUUCGUGCUGUUGCUCGCAAGGUAAACUCUUUAAAAACCCCAAUGUGUCGUCUCUUGACGACGCUUCGACCGCGACCCCAGGUCAGGCGGGACUACCCGCUGAGUUUAAGCAUAUCAAUAAGCGGAGGA